RNAcentral lists this ribosomal RNA (422 nucleotides) under Fusobacteriota bacterium. RNAcentral describes it as "Fusobacteria bacterium partial 16S ribosomal RNA". It matches the Rfam family "Bacterial small subunit ribosomal RNA", at positions 355 to 776 of the family's 1533-position model. Lineage: Bacteria; Fusobacteriati; Fusobacteriota. The record is from RNAcentral.
CGGGGGAUUUUGCACAAUGGGCGCAAGCCUGAUGCAGCGACGCCGCGUGAGGGAUGAAGGCCUUCGGGUUGUAAACCUCUUUCGCUGGGUUGAAAGGCCAUGCUUUGGGUGUGGUUGAUUUGAACUGGUAAAGAAGUACCGGCUAACUACGUGCCAGCAGCCGCGGUAAUACGUAGGGUACUAGCGUUGUCCGGAUUUAUUGGGCGUAAAGGGCUUGUAGGUGGUUUGUCGCGUCUGUCGUGAAAUCCUGUGGCUUAACCAUGGGCUUGCGGUGGGUACGGGCAGGCUUGAGUGCGGUAGGGGAGACUGGAAUUCCUGGUGUAGCGGUGGAAUGCGCAGAUAUCAGGAGGAACACCGGUGGAGAAGGCGGGUCUCUGGGCCGUUACUGACACUGAGGAGCGAAAGCGUGGGGAGCGAACAGG